GACGAACGCUGGCGGCGUGCUUAACACAUGCAAGUCGAACGGAAAGGCCCUGCUUUUGUGGGGUGCUCGAGUGGCGAACGGGUGAGUAACACGUGAGUAACCUGCCCUUGACUUUGGGAUAACUUCAGGAAACUGGGGCUAAUACCGGAUAGGAGCUCCUGCUGCAUGGUGGGGGUUGGAAAGUUUCGGCGGUUGGGGAUGGACUCGCGGCUUAUCAGCUUGUUGGUGGGGUAGUGGCUUACCAAGGCUUUGACGGGUAGCCGGCCUGCGGGGGUGACCGGCCACAUUGGGACAGAGAUGCGGCACAGACUACUACGGGAGGCAGCAGUGGGGAAUAUUGCACAAUGGGCGGAAGCCUGAUGCAGCAACGCCGCGUGCGGGAUGACGGCCUUCGGGUUGUAAACCGCUUUCGCCUGUGACGAAGCGUGAGUGACGGUAAUGGGUAAAGAAGCACCGGCUAACUACGUG
Molecule: ribosomal RNA, 468 nt
Filed under: uncultured bacterium
Lineage: Bacteria
Description: partial 16S ribosomal RNA
Rfam family: Bacterial small subunit ribosomal RNA
Source: RNAcentral